GAAAAAACAAACCCAUUACAGUAUGCUCAUGCUAAGCUGUGAACCACAAAUGUGCCCUUACAGCAUGGAAUACUUAAGAGCCCUAUUGCUCCCUCUUAUUCUGUCACUUGAAUUUUUUAUCUCCAUAUGUUUCUGUUAUGUUCACAAAACCACAGGCUAGGAUCCACACUACCCAAUUUCUCCUCUGAUCUUCCACAAAGGUGAGUGAUAUGUUGGAAAAGAUCACUCCCAACCAUAUGGCAGAGGCACCUCCCAACCCUGCCCCUGUUUAGCAAAGAACUUUGUUUCUGAUUUUACUGAGCAAAUGGGAGUCAUUGCACAAGCAAACCCCUUUCUGACCCUCCAACCACCUACAGCUACGCAUCUGUCACUUUUCAUACUAUCCCUCCUAAAAAGAGCUCUUUCUCCUCACACAAGUUUUCAUCUUUUCCCACGACCCAACCUAACUUGCUUUUUGUUGCAUGGGGCUUAGGUUGAUUUUGCCAUUCCUCAUAAAAGGGACUAAAAGUGGGCCCCUUUGACAGUGCUGUUGUAUGCUCAAGCAAUCAAAUGAUGGACCACAGGCAGCUCUUAACACUUAAAAUAAGACUUGCCAAGCGCUAAUGGCAUCUGAGGAUCCUUUUCAAGCAGGAGACUUUUAUCCCUAUAGGUCCCUAAUGCAUGAUUUUACAGCUGUAUUUUCCUAAGUAAAUACCUAAGGGUUCCCAAAUAGAGUGCUCAUAAUCUAAAUUGAGUCACUUGCCAGAGUUUAUUGGAGAGCCUUACACAGGCAUCUAGCUGCUGCUGAAUGCUACAAAGUACCCAAAGUGCCAAGAACAGAAAGACCAGAGUUUCCAUCAUUCUCAGACAGGCUGAACUGCAUCAUCUGCAUCAUCAACACUGGCCUGAGCCGGCCAUGGUUUCAAUUGCUGCUAUUCUUGAAAUGAUCAAUAGGAUGUCACUUUUAUAGAUGUUUGUGCCAGUGUUCUGUAGAACACUGUUACUGUUACUGUUUUUCUUCUGGCUCUCUGUAGUCUGUUAGCACCAAUUUCUUUCCUCCUAUGGAGAUGGGAACUUCUUGGUUAGGCAGUCGUCCAUGCUAAAUAAAGUUCAACAAUUGAAAAGACUAGUAAGUGCGGACAUUUCGGUAAUUCCUUUGUUAGCUUUUUCAGUGUGUCUUUCCCAUAGCCCAGUGGGUGCUAGAAUGAGAAGGCUGUGUUCAUUUUGACUCUGGAAAAGCUGGCAACCUCAUUCUAGUGCACCUUUCUUGUGCUCUCUAGUGUUAACAGGUG
Molecule: long non-coding RNA, 1271 nt
Filed under: Cricetulus griseus (Chinese hamster)
Lineage: Eukaryota; Metazoa; Chordata; Mammalia; Rodentia; Cricetidae
Description: lncRNA (ENSCGRG00015041598.1)
Source: RNAcentral